This 701-nucleotide ribosomal RNA is filed under the name Aeneolamia albofasciata. Its description in RNAcentral is "SSU rRNA". It matches the Rfam family "Eukaryotic small subunit ribosomal RNA", at positions 703 to 1289 of the family's 1831-position model. Lineage: Eukaryota; Metazoa; Arthropoda; Insecta; Hemiptera; Cercopidae. The record is from RNAcentral.
GUCGGUGUCAACUGGCAUGUCCUGUGGAACGUCCUGCCGGUGGCGGACCGGGCUUUCGGCUUGCGUAAGGGCUUACGCCCGAAGCAGGCCGAACAGUACCGGCCGCCGGUCCAAUCCCGCCACGGUGCUCUUCACCGAGUGUCGAGGUGGGCCGGCACGUUUACUUUGAACAAAUUAGAGUGCUUAAAGCAGGCUGGUGUCCGCCUGAAUACUGUGUGCAUGGAAUAAUAGAAUAGGACCUCGGUUCUAUUUUGUUGGUUUUCGGAACCCGAGGUAAUGAUUAAUAGGGACAGGCGGGGGCAUUCGUAUUGCGACGUUAGAGGUGAAAUUCUUGGAUCGUCGCAAGACGAACCUAAGCGAAAGCAUUUGCCAAGUAUGUUCUCGUUAAUCAAGAACGAAAGUUAGAGGUUCGAAGGCGAUCAGAUACCGCCCUAGUUCUAACCAUAAACGAUGCCAGCCAGCGAUCCGCCGAAGUUCCUCCGAUGACUCGGCGGGCAGCUUCCGGGAAACCAAAGCUUUUGGGUUCCGGGGGAAGUAUGGUUGCAAAGCUGAAACUUAAAGGAAUUGACGGAAGGGCACCACCAGGAGUGGAGCCUGCGGCUUAAUUUGACUCAACACGGGAAACCUCACCAGGCCCGGACACCGGAAGGAUUGACAGAUUGAGAGCUCUUUCUUGAUUCGGUGGGUGGUGGUGCAUGGCC